Long non-coding RNA from Triticum dicoccoides, 400 nucleotides. RefSeq lists it as uncharacterized. The record is from RefSeq and is a predicted model, not a curated record. The transcript has 4 exons. NCBI's taxonomy places the organism in Eukaryota, Viridiplantae, Streptophyta, Magnoliopsida, Poales, Poaceae.
GAUGACGACGACGGCAGGAGGGCACCGUCCUUUCUACUGGCGCACCUAGCUGGCGGCCCUGUCCUGCUCGAGGAGGCGGGCUGCCUAGCUCAAGCACGGCCACGACGGCCCACCUCGGCAGGUAGGUACCGCUUAUGUACUGGAGCCUUGAUCUUAAUUUUUCUUCAUUGAUGUCCUUGGAGAAGAUGGCCAUUGGAGUGUAGGGGUGGAACAACCUUGUCUUGCUCAAGGAGGAGGACCACCCGAUCUCGACGACGGCACGGCAACAGCCUUGUCUCCCCCACCAAUGCCCCUCGGCCUCCUCUAAUGCUGCUGUGGAGUCUUAGAAUGGGAAUGUUAUGUACAUAAAAAAUAUUCUAUGGUCUGUGUUUGCAAAUCCAUGGUUGUUGAAUCAUGUCUG